GGGAGGCCUUGGCUGCGUGAGAGCAGCUGGGGGCAGUGGCGAAGGCACCAGCUUGGGGAGCUGGAGGGAGGCACCUCCCCACCAUGAAUUUGUCUCAUCUGUGACCUGGGCCUGUGAACCCUUGCUGGGGAAUGGAAGACACUGGCUGUAAGAUGCCUACGCUGACUACUGUGAAUGCUCUGGGAGCGGGAGAGGCCUCCAAGGAUGCAGCCGGUGGGCAGCCAUGGUGCCCCCGCCCCUGAGGCCUGGGCCUGAGCCCCCCGGGACCGAGGGUCAGGGGGUGGAAGGAGGGGACUCACCAUUGCACAGGAUGGCCCGGCUCAGGCCCAGGGCAUCUGCGGUCCCCGAACUCAUGUUCUCAACCAGCCGAUGCUUCACCUUCUUCAACACUGGGACCAGAAUCACAAUAAAAACAUCACAAUUAUUUGAAAAAGAAUGGUAAAGGAGAUCACAACAAUAAAAGAUAUACAGCCAUUUCCGGAAGAUGCAACAGCGGGGAUCCAAGGGCCUGCACAGGGGGUUGAUGAAAGAGAGCUAGUCUUUGCUGGAAAGUGCCGGCAGGCCAGGAAACAGACCUCUGGAAACAUCUGUAGGGAACACGGAGGACACGGAACGCCACCACCUCAGCGCCGGCCACUGGCCUCCCUGCCCACAUCCUGCUGGAGCUUCAGCAGCAGACGUUUCCCAGACCGUUGCGGGUUUUGGCAGACGAUCUGCAAUGAAGCCUCUGGGCCCCCCGAAGCAGCCGCAGGGAUUAAGGGCACACAGGUUCGAGCCCUGGUCCGGGAAGAUCCCACAUGCUGCAGAGCAACUAAGCCCGUGUACCACAACUACUGAGCCCACGUGCCACAACUGCUGAAGCUGGCGCGCCUAAAGCCCGUGCUCCGCAACAAGAGAAGUCACCACAAUGAGAGGCCCGUGCACCGCCACGAAGAGUAGCCCCCGCUCGCCACAACUAGAGAAAGCCCGUGUGCAGCAGCGAAGACCAAACAGAGCCAAAAAUAAAUAAGUAAAUAAAUACAUUUAUUUUUUAAAAAAUAAUAAUAAUAAACUAUACGGGAGGAUGUGCAGAGGUCAUAUGCAAACACUAUGCCAUUUAAAAAGAAAGACAAAAAAACGGCAUGUUACUAUGCUCCGAGCUCUCUGAGGGCAGGGUCUCCGUUUUCUUGCUUUCUUAUCUCUAGUGGCUACGAAAGAGCCUGGCCAGGCCCUCAGAAAAUAUUUCCCGAACAUAAUAUGUUGUACUGAUACUGAUUUAACCAAAAUUGACAUGAUAACUAUGUUGGGAAGAUAGAUAGAUAGGUUUUGGAAGAAAGCUAAAUUUUUAGCUCCUAGACUGAGAGAAGCUGACAGAUGUUUAUAAGCAAUAGACCAAAAACUAACAGGCUAAGCAUCUUACUGAGAAAAAUGGGACCUCAUACCUGAA
Long non-coding RNA from Globicephala melas (long-finned pilot whale), 1426 nucleotides. RefSeq lists it as uncharacterized. The record is from RefSeq and is a predicted model, not a curated record. Lineage: Eukaryota; Metazoa; Chordata; Mammalia; Artiodactyla; Delphinidae.